This 373-nucleotide ribosomal RNA is filed under the name uncultured bacterium. Its description in RNAcentral is "bacterial SSU rRNA". It matches the Rfam family "Bacterial small subunit ribosomal RNA", at positions 521 to 896 of the family's 1533-position model. The record is from RNAcentral.
UAAUACGUAAGGGGCAAGCGUUGUCCGGAAUCACUGGGCGUAAAGGGCGCGUAGGCGGUUUGUUAAGUCGGGAGUGAAAGCGCUGGGCUCAACCCAGCAAUGGCUCUCGAGACUGGCAGGCUAGAGGAUCCUAGGGGAUGCUGGAAUUCCAGGUGUAGCGGUGAAAUGCGUAGAUAUCUGGGAGAACACCCGUGGCGAAGGCGGGCAUCUGGGGGAUUCCUGACGCUGAGGCGCGAAAGCUAGGGGAGCGAACGGGAUUAGAUACCCCGGUAGUCCUAGCCCUAAACUAUGAGUACUAGGUGUUGGGGGUCAAACCUCGGUGCCGGCGCUAACGCAUUAAGUACUCCGCCUGGGGACUACGGUCGCAAGACUA